This is a long non-coding RNA of Actinia tenebrosa (Australian red waratah sea anemone), 574 nucleotides long. RefSeq lists it as uncharacterized. The record is from RefSeq and is a predicted model, not a curated record. Lineage: Eukaryota; Metazoa; Cnidaria; Anthozoa; Actiniaria; Actiniidae.
GUAUUUGUUUAUUUAUUAACGGGAACCAGAAACUCAGGGUAUAAAAACAGAAAAGUGUUGGUCUCUCUACACAAUUCGCGCCGGGACUGACAGAACAAGAACUGAGACCUUUAAGAAGAAUAGUUUUCUAAAAACAACAAAUUAAGAAAUGGCAUGUAAAACGUACCUCAUAAUUCUACUGGUUAGCUGUUUGCUUGUCUCCAUGUGUAUCCAACAAAGCAACGGGCAACAGCAAGGGUUGAGAUGGGGGAAGAAAUCCGUAGAUUCAUUGGAACAAGAGAUUAAUGAAGAGAAAGCUGCGGACGAAUUGAGACGAUUCAAGGAUUAUUUCAAGCGAAAAUAUAACCAGGAUGCCACUUUCUAGAGAGGCGCAGUAGCACAGACCACAGCAAUCCCAACUAUGGACAAGAUAAAUUAAAACAAAAUCCUGCCAAAUCAGUUUGGCUGAAACAAAUCCUAAAUCAAAGAAAUAAUUAAUUUUUUGAAUGAACAUUUUAUGACGCGAAUAAUUGUAAAUCACGACAUUCAUUCUUGAAAGAUUAUCAAAAGCAAUAAAUAACGAAUAGACAAGAAA